GACGAACGCUGGCGGCGUGCUUAACACAUGCAAGUCGAACGGAAAGGCCCUGCUUUUGUGGGGUGCUCGAGUGGCGAACGGGUGAGUAACACGUGAGUAACCUGCCCUUGACUUUGGGAUAACUUCAGGAAACUGGGGCUAAUACCGGAUAGGAGCUCCUGCUGCAUGGUGGGGGUUGGAAAGUUUCGGCGGUUGGGGAUGGACUCGCGGCUUAUCAGCUUGUUGGUGGGGUAGUGGCUUACCAAGGCUUUGACGGGUAGCCGGCCGGAGAGGGUGACCGGCAACACGUGAAAUGAGAAACGGUGCAGAGGCCUAAGGGAGGCAGAAGUGGGGAAUAUUGGACAAUGGGGGAAAGGCUGAUCAAGCCGUCCGGCGUGGGUGAAGAAGGCGUUCGGGUGGUAAAGGCGGGUGGUGGGGAAAGAAAAGCAGCAGGGGAAUAACCCGCGGGUCUGACGGGAACCAAAGAAUAAGCACCGGCUAACUGCGUG
This 488-nucleotide ribosomal RNA is filed under the name uncultured bacterium. RNAcentral describes it as "partial 16S ribosomal RNA". It matches the Rfam family "Bacterial small subunit ribosomal RNA", at positions 28 to 507 of the family's 1533-position model. The record is from RNAcentral.